UGCAAAACAAAACGAGUACGUGUCUUUGAGACUUCAAAUUAUAUUUUGUUCAAAAAAUUUUCAAUUUUAAUUAUUUUUUAAAUGUUUUCAUUAAAAAUUGUCAAGAUUAUUUUUUUAUUAUUUUAUGUGAUUUUAUAUACUAAAACACAAAAUACUACAAAAAUAAAAAUAUUACAAUUAGAUACAUUACUAAAUUAUCCGGGAUGGAAAAUUUUGAACGAUGUGUACUCUAUAAAAUAUUUGAAUAAAAAAUAUUAUCUUAAAAGUCUAAUUGAAAUACCUACAAAUCGGUCAAAAUGUAUACAAAAGAUACGAGCCUUGACUAUAUAUCUUGGAUGUACAUAUGGUAAAGUUAUGAAUAAUCUUUUUUCAAUUAUUAUCAACAUGAUAACAAUUUGUCAAGAAAAAAUUCUUGGAGAACACGAUUUCUUAAAUGGAUGCAUUUAUACCGAAGAACUCAUAGACUUAAUAGCCACUUUUAUUGUUCCAACAGCAACAUUGAUGAAAAAUGCAAUGGAUGCUUUAGAUUUAUUACAUGACAAACCAUGGUUUACUUUUACAAGGAAUCAAAAACAUUACUACAUAAUGAGUCCUUUAUUAGAAACAAUAGCAAAUGUUCUUCACAAAUUAAAUGAAAGAUCUCUAUCACGUGACAAUAUAUCUACAUACUUUUGGAUAUUAGAUACUGUGUUUGAUUUUUUUCUUAAAAUUAUAAAAAAUAUAAAAAAAGAAAUGCUAUACUAUUGUACAUUUGUACCUUAUGAUACGAAUUAUUUAUGGAAUGAAUGGAAUCAAGAAUAUAAAAUUAUUAUUGACCAAGGCAUAAAAUUAAUAUUUUUCAAAUUCUUAAUAAGGAAAAUUAAAAAUUAUAUCAAGACAGAAAUUAUAGAAAAGUAUUUCCAACUGGGAUUUAAAUAUGAUUCAAUAACUGAAGAAACGUUUGUCCCAAAACCAAAGGAGCUAAUUGAACUAGAUGAAGUUAAUCGACUUGAAGAAGAAUUGAAGAGGUUAGUAGUGGAUGCUGGUAUCGAAGUUAAUAAAGUCAAAUUAAUUUACGAUACAAAAUUUCAAGAAGUCAUUAAAGAAACCCAGCGUUUGCAAAUGGAAAAGAAAACAGCCGAACGAGAUUUAGAAAAAAAAACUAAAGAAUAUGCCGAUUUGACAAAAAAAUAUGAAUCAGUCCCCCAAGAAUGUGUCUUACCACCUUUAUUUCAUUUGGAAGAGAGAUCUUUGAUGGAUGAAGUUGAUGACUAUAAAAUCGAAAGUGAAAAAAUUAUGAAUGAAGUAGAAUUCAUAAAAAAAGCAUUUAUGCAAGAUGUAGAAAAUUUCCAAAGAAAAUCGGCAAGAUACAAAAUGGAAAUAAUGAUUUUAUAAGAUAAAGAAGAAUCAUUAAAAAAACAAUUAAACAGCGCCAUGCGUCAAAUAGCGGAAGAUAAAAAUGAGUUAUUAGAAACAACUGAUCGUAUUAAAGUUUUGGAGAUGGAAAUUAACAAAUCGUGGAAUAAUGAAAUGAGUGAUAUUACAAAAAGUUUAAAAAAUAAAAUUGUUUUAAAUUAAAAUUAAAUAAUAGACAGUUUAUCAGAAAAACAUGAAACUAAAAAAAAUGAUUAAUAUUUCUAGAUAUAACUACCGCUUUAAAAUGAAAAAAAGUCUACCAUUUCAGGAAAAAAUGUAAGGAGGUAAAUUUUAAUUUUUGCAUUGCAUUAAAAUAAUUUUUUUUAAGGUACCAAUCCAAAUUAACAGACGUGUCUUCUUCAGCAUAAUAACACCUAUUAUAAAACUAAUUAUGUUGAAUUUUUGGUUUUAUAAAAACAAAGAAUUAAUUACAAAUAUUAUAUUUAAAUAGCAACUAACAAUAUUAAUACAAAAUAAUUAUGCAAUUUUUUUAAAAAUAGUUUUUAAAAUUUAACAUUGUUAUUCUAUUUUUUACAAAUAUUUUGUUAACAAUUGUCU
Daktulosphaira vitifoliae (grape phylloxera) is the source of this 1953-nucleotide RNA transcript. RefSeq lists it as uncharacterized. The transcript has 6 exons. NCBI's taxonomy places the organism in Eukaryota, Metazoa, Arthropoda, Insecta, Hemiptera, Phylloxeridae. The record is from RefSeq and is a predicted model, not a curated record.